Molecule: long non-coding RNA, 1002 nt
Filed under: Felis catus (domestic cat)
Lineage: Eukaryota; Metazoa; Chordata; Mammalia; Carnivora; Felidae
Description: lncRNA (ENSFCAG00000047103.1)
Source: RNAcentral
AUUUGAGUCUUUUUAGAUAUUAAAAUCCCUUAAAUACGCAUAUUUUUGUUUCUCUUUCUCUCUUCCUUCCUCCGUGUCUUCCUGCCACUGUCUCCUCUCUGCAUCACAGUCUGCUAGUGAGUAGAAUACAAACCAUAAAUCAGCUUCAGGUGUUUACUUGCAUCAGUCACAGAUAGAAGAUCCAAUCGUGCAAGAAUAGGUUCCCCUUUUUCUGAUGGAAUUAGUCAGUUCUGUGUCUUCCUCCUCCCUCCCUCUGGAUCUUCCUUUCUUUCUAUUUUUAGAUAGACAGUCUGAAAAGUCUUAAUAUAUCAAUGACAUUUAUAACACAUGUUAAUAUCUAAAGCGUCAAAGCUCUAUUUGUAGAAAUGACGGCUGAUGUGAUGAGAUGCUUUCAUUAUAUCAGUGACUUUUAUGAUAAAUAGGAUGAAGCUGUGCACUCUUUUUUUGGAAAAUUAAAUAAUAAUAGUAAACUAUUCUCUGUCCCAGUUUGUCCAACCAUUAGCUUCAAGUACUAGGUUUUACUUUUUUUGGUGCACUUUUUUAUAAAUUGCUCUUUACAACUUCAGGGUGAAUAUCUGUCUCUUGGAAUAGAUGACAGCAGGUUCUUCUGGAAGAAUGCAUUAGGGAGGUUAAGGGAGAAAAGAAGAUUCUCUAUCUACAAAGGUCUUUUCAGCAUCGAAACCAACCUCUGUUCUGCUAGCUUAUCCGGCUUAACAGAGAGCAAUCAAGCUACUCAUCCUAGACCUGUGGAUGCAGGAGCCACGUAGAAGGUAUUUUAAAAGAGGCGGUAAAACAAGCCCAACAUUAAAAGCAGAGAAUAUUGCUUUCAUUACUGGCUGUGUGAUUUUGGAAUAUGUAACUUCACCUCUCUGAGACUUGUUUCCCUCCUUGGUACUUAAAGAUUAUAAUAUUUAUUUCAUGGGGCUUUUAUGAAGAUGAAAUAUAUGUGAUCGAUCUGGCACAUGGGAGGGAAUCAAUAAAUGGUGGCUAUUAUCAUUACCA